RNAcentral lists this unclassified non-coding RNA (336 nucleotides) under soil metagenome. Its description in RNAcentral is "partial contains 5.8S ribosomal RNA, internal transcribed spacer 2, and large subunit ribosomal RNA". The stretch from base 1 to 120 matches the Rfam family "5.8S ribosomal RNA", at positions 35 to 154 of the family's 154-position model. The record is from RNAcentral.
GAUGAAGAACGCAGCGAAAUGCGAUAAGUAAUGUGAAUUGCAGAAUUCAGUGAAUCAUCGAAUCUUUGAACGCACAUUGCGCCCGCCAGUAAUCUGGCGGGCAUGCCUGUUCGAGCGUCAUUUCAACCAUCAAGCCCCAGGCUUGUGUUGGGGACCUGCGGCUGCCGCAGGCCCUGAAAACCAGUGGCGGGCUCGCUGUCACACCGGGCGUAGUAGAUUUUAUCUCGCUCAGGGCGUGCUGCGGGUUCCGGCCGUUAAAAAGCCUUUUUUACCCAAGGUUGACCUCGGAUCAGGUAGGAAGACCCGCUGAACUUAAGCAUAUCAAUAAGCGGAGGA